Ruditapes philippinarum (Manila clam) is the source of this 1197-nucleotide long non-coding RNA. RefSeq lists it as uncharacterized. The record is from RefSeq and is a predicted model, not a curated record. NCBI's taxonomy places the organism in Eukaryota, Metazoa, Mollusca, Bivalvia, Venerida, Veneridae. The transcript has 5 exons.
AUCACGUGAUUGGCUCUUCAACGACGCCAUUUUUAUUCAAGCAGAUUGAAAUGCAGUUUCGACUUCGUUAUUUGACACAAAUAUCAGGCUAUUUUGAAGAAAUUGCCAUCAAAAAGGCUGUAUGAAUCGGAUAGUGACACUGAUGAGAAUGAGACAGACACCGAGAGUAGACCAUCACAAGUUAUUGACAAAGCAACAACGCCAAACAGGCACGAAGCCUGCUUUCACCUCCGCCUUGCUUAUCUGCACAGGCAUUGCGAGAGGCCAGCAGUGAUGUGCAAAGUGCUUCUCCAAUACAAGGUGCUUCUGAUACGCCCUCCCGUGGGCAGAUUAUUGGGCCGACUGCUGUUACACAGAUUCUCUGAGUCUUGGAGACAAUGCGGGAGGAGAAUCGUGAAAAUAAGAGGAUGAUGUAGCAAUUGUUGUCAAGGUCAGCAGCAGAUGACCAACCGCUGCAGCUUCCUGAAGAUAUCUCAUUCCCCAUUCGUUCUCCUUAGCAGAUGGAAACAUUCGAUGAGCUUCUGGAAGAUCAGACAAAGCUGUCAUCUGUGGUGCGGUUCCUCUCAAUGUUUGGUGGGGCAGUUGUGCGGGAAACUGUUGACCGCUAGAUGAUAGAAACCAUGUCAAAUGAACUGGCAAGAAUGUUCAAUAUGAAGGGGCUGAAAGGGAAGAAAACAUUUGGGGGCCUCUAGAUACUGAAUGUAUUGUAUAAAUGUGUCCAAAGGAACUUGCCGACAAAGACUGCAACGAGGAAGGAUGUAGAAAUAGAGGUUUCAAAGUGGCUGGCUGGGGAGUGGGACCGCGAUGGGGGAAGGAAAGCAAGAAACAAAGUGUCCGAGACCUUACCUUAAGCAAAUGAAGGAAGUGACUAGACAUGUUUUUAUUUUUUAAAAAUGCAAAUCUAUAGAGGAUACAUGUAUUUGUUUGUUAGUGUGUAAGAUGAAAUUUUAUAUCAUCAAGUGAGCUGUAAAAACAUUAUUCUCACGAGUGAGAACACUGUUAUUAUAUAAAAGUCCCUCAAUGAUAUAAAAUUACAUCUUACACAACAAACAAUAAAGUGUCUUUUUAUUUUAUGCUAAUGAAACUUCCUCAAUAUUAACUUUAAUAAUUAUUAAAUCUGUUUUCCCCACUGUUAACAUCAAUUUUAGUUGAAUUUAAGUCCAAUUAUUCAUAAAUAAAGGAGUCUUGGGCUAUACA